CCGCGGGCCACUCCCGGACAAACCACAAGAUACGAGUACAGCGAGUCCUCGAGUUACGAGGAUUCGUACAUUUGCCGGUGCAUCCGCACCUUGGCAAACGAUGACGGGCAGGUGGAAAUUUGGUUGAACGCGAGGUUGAUGGACACCGAUGGUAACGAGUGGGUCGGGAAGGAAACGAGCGUGAAAGCGUUCCGCGGAAUUAAGGACGUCCACGCCCCUCCGGAACAGUCCUCGGAGGCUAAAAGGGUCCAGGUUCUUCGGCGGAAACUAACAUCGCGUCGGAACGAUUACCGCGAUUGGCUAAAUAAGGUCGAUACUCAAAGUAGCCGCUGCGAGCCAACUGUGGAACGUGGAACGAAAGAAAAAACCUUAACGAGGCUAAUAGUCGAAUAAGGAGACUUAUGAAUUCGAGACACGCACGUACCUGCCGGCAGUGCGCCAGGGAUUCGACGACCUUGUCAUCGGCAGGAUACACCGAUUCUUUUCGACUUAUCAGCGCCGAUUAACGUUGCUUCCGGGAAACUUAAGCGUUCCAAGACGAGGAGUCCAUUGAAAAAUAACGUGGUCUGGCCGUCAGACGACCAAUAACCGGAUCCACGUUCAUCGUCGUGCAGUUGCAAUGCUAUGCCAGCUCUGAUGGGAUCGAAUUACCGCUUCGUCGAGGCCCAACAAGCCAGAACCCUGCCGUAGCUGUACUCGCUUGGAAGGCUUCGCGUCAGCUUUCCGCCUGAUGCCGCAACAUGGAAUACCAUGGUUCGAUUAGGCGAGUGGAAAGGUCCCGAAACCUCGAGGGCGAAGAAAUAAAAGAAACGAGUCUCCAUUCACACGGAGCGCAGCGCGUUCUCAUCGUAAUUUACGAGGCUGUCCCCGUAAAUUACGAUCCGCAGUUGCUCGUACGCUGCGAGCCAAUGCAUGUCCUCGAGGCAAGGCCAAGGUCGCGGUGCAACAAUCUUCCGCUGCGAGGUAUGCGACGUCGAUCGAAUGAACGGUGGCAACGAAAGUAUUGCGUGGGUGGUGCAAUCCUCGUCGGACCUGGGUUCACCAUGGGUACUACAACCCUUAACCUUUUCACGCAUUUCCUCGGUCGUGCACCCCCUAGUGUUUACUUAAUCUUGCAAAGAAUACUCUUCGAUACAAGUCGCACGUCUCUUCGCCUUUUCUCGCGACUCAGUUUUCUUUACCGUCGAAGGCUUUCAAAAAGUCUAACACGGCCACCUCGAUGACGGUGAUUGAUAAUCGCGUUAUAUUUUGCAAGCAACAAGAACGGAUCGGGGAUCCAUCACCCUACAAGAGUAGAUUAAAAUUGGAGGCGAACAAGUUCCCUUGUUAGUCAUGCAUCAUCGAUUAGCAGCGACCUCUAUUUUACGCUGGAAUCAAGUCCCGGACUUUCUAGAAUGCACAGUGAGUCACAGCUCUCCGAUAGCUACGCUACCCUCCACAGGUGAUGGAGAGUAU
Hylaeus volcanicus is the source of this 1455-nucleotide long non-coding RNA. RefSeq lists it as uncharacterized. The transcript has 5 exons. Lineage: Eukaryota; Metazoa; Arthropoda; Insecta; Hymenoptera; Colletidae. The record is from RefSeq and is a predicted model, not a curated record.